AUGGAAAUCAGUCCUUCCCUGUCGGCUCCCCCCAUUUUGGGGGCCUGAUAGUACAGUCCAAGUAGAGUGGAGCUUUAAGCCCUGAAGCUUCCUAGGAGCUAAGAACUGGGCUGUGCCUACCUGGGAGCCAGGAGGCUUGACUUUGCUCAUACAUGUGCCAUUGCACAAUUCAAUGGAAAAGGAUUCAGAAGCUUGAGAAGUCCUCACUAUAUGCAGGCUGUUGGAAAAUUCUGUUUAAAUACUGUGUUUUCACUUUUUCAUAUUUUCUUUCACCUUUGGCUCUGUCCUUGGUUCUAGUCUUUCAGGGCUACCCUAUGUCUGGCUAUGGUGGCAGCUCAGAGCAGACUUGCAUUAUUGUCCUUUAUCUUUUAGCACAGCUGGACUUAGGCGUCUCUAAACUCUUGAAGGUCUCUCAGGAGAGGGAAGCAUGGUGUUUUCUUCCCUUGGCACAGAGGAAGGGGCUACCUGGUUGCUUGGGAAUAGGGAUGGUAAUAAUGGUCCACCUGGGGACAUGGGGGAAGAGGAAGAAAGUUUAACCUCUGGUGCCUGUGUCCUGUCCAUUUGUUAACACGGCAGAAAACAGGUUGGCUGGCUGGUUUGGGCAUUAAGGAAACCACAGGUGAAUGCCAUGUUGCCCUGAAGGUGUAGGAUUAAGUGGGUCAAAAUUUUAGUAACCUUUCCAGGGCUCUAAGGAGAAUGCUUUACAUGGAAAACUUAGAAGAGAUGAAAGGUGUGGUCUGGGUCAUUAUUUUUCUGAGAUCCAGAGAGACUACGUUUAUGUAGGCCCAGGAAGGCUGUGUUCAAGUUUCGGAUUGAGCAAUGUCGUAUGUGAGGAUCUUUGAGACUAGUUGCAAAAAAUGACUUUCAUUACAAACAAGGCAUUUAUUAGUUCCUCCUUCUCACUUAAUGGAUGCCAGUCAUUCAUUUGUUCUCUUUCACUUGACUUAAAUAUGUAUUGAGCAUUUACCAUGUGCACAGCUCUGAAAAUGGUGAGAAAAAGUUUAGGAGUUGCUGCAUGAAGUUUUUAAUUACUGCUAAUUUAACUCUUCUGUAACUUUAUUGAGCCAGUCUAAUUCCAUGCAGAAACUGGUUUUAAUAUUAGAAAAAUAGGCAAAGAAUUGCUAAUUCCGACGUUUGAAAGCCAAAAGAAGAGCACAUUGUUGCAAUCAUGAACAGGAACAAUACACAGUUUCAAAUACAUAAAACCAAUUGAAAAUAGCAGGGCACUCUCCUUGGUGCUGAAAUGAAUUUCUUCACCUCCUAUUAACUUGUAAGACAUUUUAACCUCAUGGACAUUUUGCUGACUGAUAGGAUGCUACUGGAACUGGAACAGUUUUGACCUGCUGAAUCAUGGGGAAAAUAAAAGAUGAAGUGGAGAUCAAUAAAAUUAUUUCUUGAACAGGAAGAUUAGAAAUUAUAUUUCCUAUCUUUGAACAGGUCUGUGACUAUGACACAGCAAGAGAGCAAUAUGGAAGUUGGCAGGGUCUGGAAAUAAAUAACCAUUUUCUCUCUAUAUAUAGGCAUUUCCCACUUUAAAUGUAACAGUUAAUCACCUCUCACUGGAGUAGUUAUCACUCAUGAGGUGAAGGAUCUUCAGCAUGUCUGUGUGACUAAUAUUUUCAAAGUAUUUCUCUUCUCCCCACCACACCCUUUCCCCUCAGGCUGUGUGUCAUCUCUACACAUUCUUCAGCUUCCUUGGAGAACAAGGGCCCUAAGUCAUGGCAUUAGUUUCUUUAACAACUGCAGUUGGCUGCUGAAUGAAAUCGAUUGCACUUUUGAUGACUAUGAGGAAAACAAAACACUCAUUCUACUGCCCUAAGGGUCACAUAUGUGACUCUUUUCUAUUUCCGAUUUUCUAGGUGUUAGCCACCUAACUUCAGUUAUGAAUGAUUUUUAAAUAAUGUCAAACA
Molecule: long non-coding RNA, 1910 nt
Filed under: Homo sapiens (human)
Lineage: Eukaryota; Metazoa; Chordata; Mammalia; Primates; Hominidae
Description: HSALNT0139221
Source: RNAcentral